GAUCCUGGCUCAGGACGAACGCUGGCGGCGUGCUUAACACAUGCAAGUCGAACGCUGAAGCCCAGCUUGCUGGGUGGAUGAGUGGCGAACGGGUGAGUAACACGUGAGUAACCUGCCCCCUUCUUUGGGGUAACGCCCGGAAACGGGUGCUAAUACUGGAUAUUCACUGGCCUUCGCAUGGGGGUUGGGUGGGAAAAGGGUUUUUUUCUUGGUGGGGGGAGUGGGCUCGCGGCCUAUCAGCUUGUUGGUGGGGUGAUGGCCU
This 262-nucleotide ribosomal RNA is filed under the name uncultured bacterium. Its description in RNAcentral is "partial 16S ribosomal RNA". It matches the Rfam family "Bacterial small subunit ribosomal RNA", at positions 15 to 266 of the family's 1533-position model. The record is from RNAcentral.